UACGGAGGGUGCAAGCAUUAAUCGGAAUUAUUGGGCGUAAAGGGCGCGUAGGCGGAAAAUCAAGGCAGAUGUGAAAUACCGGGGCUCAACUUCGGUGCUGCAUUUGAGACUGUUUUUCUAGAGGGUAGGAGGAGAAAAUGGAAUUCCACAAGUAGCGGUGAAAUGCGUAGAUAUGUGGAAGAACACCGGUGGCGAAGGCGGUUUUCUAUCUUAUUCCUGACGCUGAGGCGCGAAAGCAAGGGGAUCAAACAGG
This 253-nucleotide ribosomal RNA is filed under the name uncultured bacterium. RNAcentral's name for it is "partial 16S ribosomal RNA". It matches the Rfam family "Bacterial small subunit ribosomal RNA", at positions 524 to 776 of the family's 1533-position model. The record is from RNAcentral.